Molecule: ribosomal RNA, 274 nt
Filed under: Dankookia rubra
Lineage: Bacteria; Pseudomonadati; Pseudomonadota; Alphaproteobacteria; Acetobacterales; Roseomonadaceae
Description: Bacterial large subunit ribosomal RNA
Rfam family: Bacterial large subunit ribosomal RNA
Source: Rfam by way of RNAcentral
UUUAGGGGAGCCGUAGGGAAACCGAGUCUUAAUAGGGCGUUUCGUUGCAGGCAUUAGACCCGAAACCCGGCGAUCUACCCAUGGGCAGGUUGAAGGUUGAGUAACAUCAACUGGAGGACCGAACCCACUAACGUUGAAAAGUUAGGGGAUGACCUGUGGGUCGGAGUGAAAGGCUAAUCAAGCCGGGAGAUAGCUGGUUCUCCCCGAAAACUAUUUAGGUAGUGCGUCAUAUAUUACCCACGGGGGUAGAGCACUGUUAAGGCUAGGGGGUCAU